Molecule: ribosomal RNA, 482 nt
Filed under: uncultured bacterium
Lineage: Bacteria
Description: partial 16S ribosomal RNA
Rfam family: Bacterial small subunit ribosomal RNA
Source: RNAcentral
AUUGAACGCUGGCGGCAUGCCUUACACAUGCAAAUCGAACGGUAACGGGCCUUCGGGGGCCGACGAGUGGCGAACGGGCGAGUAAUACAUCGGAACGUGCCCGAGCCUGGGGGAUAACGUGGCGAAAGCUGUGCUAAUACCGCAUACGAUCUACGGAUGAAAGCAGGGGACCGCAAGGCCUUGCGCGGACGGAGCGGCCGAUGGCCGAUGAGGUCGAUGGUGGGAUAAGAGCUUACCAAGCCGACGAUCUGUAGCUGGCCUGAGAGGAUGAGCAGCCACACUGGGUCUUAGACACGGCCCAGACUCCUACGGGAGGCCCCAGUGGGGAAUUUUCGACACUGGGCGCCAGCCUGAUCCAGCGAUCCCGCGUCAGGGAUGAAGCCUCUCGGUUUGUAAAGUGAUUUUGUGCGGAACAAACAGCUUUCUCUUAAUACGGGAGGGUCCUGACGGUACCGUAAAAAUAAGCACCGGCUAACUACGUG